Long non-coding RNA from Canis lupus familiaris (dog), 483 nucleotides. RefSeq lists it as uncharacterized. NCBI's taxonomy places the organism in Eukaryota, Metazoa, Chordata, Mammalia, Carnivora, Canidae. The record is from RefSeq and is a predicted model, not a curated record. The transcript has 3 exons.
CUGCACUAGUCUUAGUGGUGGCGCUGCUGUGAGUUCAGAAUCAAGGUGUGAACAGGUUUGGAUGGUGACUGUGGAUGGGCAUUGAUAUGGAUGACAAUCUUAGCCACCGACGCCCAGUGACAGAGACCAUCAGAGACUGAACCACCCUGUCUGCUGAUCAGCUACACAACUUGUGCAGCUCCUGGAAAACAUACUCCUGCUUUCUUGGACAAUGAUUCUCCCAAUGUUAUGAUGACUUCAAUAUGCCAUCACUAAAUAACUGCAAGUCUAGGUACUACAUGGCCUUUCCUCCAUGUCCAUUCAACACAAGGUGGACCACAUUCAUAUGUCCUUAGGGCCAAGGGAACUAUUUGCAUGAGGUGCGGACAGAGCUGGGACAUGUUUUCUGCUGGGUCCUGACACCUCUAUGGCAAGCCCAUGAUUGACAGAAGGUGUUCUGACUGAUCCACUGUAGGGAAUCCAAAAAUUUAAAUUGUAACCUCA